AAGCCAUUCCGAAGUGGCAGAGAAGCUGCUUUUUCCUCCUGCAUGCUGCCUGCUAGUGUGGAUCUUGGCAUAACAGACACUACUUGGCAAAAGAUCCAUCCUUCCUUUUCCUAUACUUUGCUCAGCGGCCUGGAAGAUUGACCUCAAAAGCAAAAUCACCUGGAUUUCCUUGCCAUUUGGCUUUCAAAUGUGCUCAGCCAAUGACAGGCUGGAAAGAAAUUGACAGCUGGGAAAAGAGGAAGAUUUGUGUACAAGAUCCCUUCCACUCCCAUCUCAUUACCUGCCAUGGUCCUAGCAGUGGCUGUUCUUAUUAUGGCCACAACUACUCUUGGACAGGCCAACAUCCACAACUCCAUCCUUCAACUAGGCUUCAUUAACACUGUCCCUCACCCUUAUCUCUUUCUGGGUAGGGGUGAUAAAGGUUUCCUGACAUCAGAGUUCCUGAGUGCCUCAUAUAUUCUUGUUGGUCCCUGAACCUUGCCCCAACAUCAAUAAAAAGUUCCUUCAUUAAAUAAUUUUCA
This 521-nucleotide long non-coding RNA is filed under the name Homo sapiens (human). Its description in RNAcentral is "non-protein coding lnc-TMEM178A-6:8". Lineage: Eukaryota; Metazoa; Chordata; Mammalia; Primates; Hominidae. The record is from RNAcentral.